This 728-nucleotide unclassified non-coding RNA is filed under the name Hevea brasiliensis (rubber tree). Lineage: Eukaryota; Viridiplantae; Streptophyta; Magnoliopsida; Malpighiales; Euphorbiaceae. The record is from RNAcentral.
AGAGUCACUCUUUCGACGCUUUCUUGACCUUAGUAAUUAUCAAUACAGUAACCGAUACCAAGGCAAGCCAAAGUAUUUAAAUGGUAGCUUAGUCUCCGGGAAUUCGAGGAUCCUGCCAAUCUUCCGCUUGAACCUAUGCCCCGUGCCUGCAAACACUAUCGAGCUUUCCGGUAUUUACUCUCAGCCCUGUGAGAGAGUGGAAACGUUGUAGUUGUAGCACCUCUUUAAUAAAUUACCUUUCGCACUUGUCUUUGAAUUUCCUGCAAAGAGAAGGACACCAUCCGCGUAGCAUAGGUGAGAGAUAUAUAAAAUAGGGUUCACAUUAGGUCUAACCACCCGGGCAUCGUCCACUGCACGGUUGACACCAAGACUGAGUUGCUCCAUUACUAUAGUGAAUAGAUACGGGGAAAGGGGAUCCCCUUGUCUAAAACCUCUCUUCCCAGGAAAGAAAAAAAAGAGGGGGAGCCAUUCACUAAAACUGCAUAGGAGGUGGUUGAAAUGCAGGCCUGUAUCCACUCGAUCCAGGUUGGGGGGAAGCUCAUCUGUCUGAGACACCCCAAACGCGUUCCAAGAGACCUUGUCAUAAGCUUUCUUGAAGUCCACCUUCAUACAAAAUGGAGCUGGUCCUCUAUCCUUAUGGAAAUUCCUCACAAGUUUAUGAGCUAGAAAGAUAUUCUCUGUGAUGUUCCGGUUUUUAAUGAAUGCUGCUUUGUUCUUUUUCUACUGCU